RNAcentral lists this ribosomal RNA (126 nucleotides) under Hymenobacter edaphi. RNAcentral's name for it is "Hymenobacter sp. NL partial 16S ribosomal RNA". It matches the Rfam family "Bacterial small subunit ribosomal RNA", at positions 1 to 132 of the family's 1533-position model. The record is from RNAcentral. Lineage: Bacteria; Pseudomonadati; Bacteroidota; Cytophagia; Cytophagales; Hymenobacteraceae.
UUUACAAUGGAGAGUUUGAUCCUGGCUCAGGAUGAACGCUAGCGGCAGGCCUAAUACAUGCAAGUCGAACGGUGGUAGCAAUACCAUAGUGGCGCACGGGUGCGUAACGCGUAGGCAAUCUGCCUA